AACGCGAAGAACCUUACCUGGGCUUGACAUCCUCUGAUCAUCUAGGAGACUAGGUUUCCGGGCAACCGGACAGAGAGACAGGUGCUGCAUGGCUGUCGUCAGCUCGUGCCGUGAGAUGUUGGGUUAAGUCCCGCAACGAGCGCAACCCCCAUCUGCAGUUGCCAGCGGUUUGGCCGGGCACUCUGCAGAAACUGCCGGUGACAAGCCGGAGGAAGGCGGGGAUGACGUCAAGUCCUCAUGGCCCUUAUGGGCUGGGCUACACACGUGCUACAAUGGCGGUGACAGAGGGGAGCAAGGGUGCGAGCCCGAGCCAAUCUCAAAAAGCCGUCUCAGUUCGGAUUGCUCGCUGCAACUCGCGAGCAUGAAGUCGGAAUCGCUAGUAAUCGCGGAUCAGCAUGCCGCGGUGAAUACGUUCCCGGGCCUUGUACACACCGACUGUAC
This 441-nucleotide ribosomal RNA is filed under the name uncultured bacterium. Its description in RNAcentral is "bacterial SSU rRNA". It matches the Rfam family "Bacterial small subunit ribosomal RNA", at positions 958 to 1399 of the family's 1533-position model. The record is from RNAcentral.